CCGAUACAACCCAUAGAUUCAUCAAAAUAAGCAAACAACACAAAAAAACAAAAUCUGUCAAAAACAGAGCAGUGUGUAGCAAUCUGUGUAACUCCAGAAAUUCUGAUAAAUUAGCAAGAUAUGGGAAAUUUGUAAACCAAUGUUGUGUAAAAAUUUCAGAUCGAAAGCACGUUUCAGCGAAUUUAUAAAAUUCCUGGACUAAGAGCGAAAGUUUCUAUUUUUUAGCAAAAUCAAUCUUGCAAACACCAUAGACCAUCCCAACGGUCUUACUUGGCUCAAACGCUAAUUAAAACAAGAAAACACAAUUAUUACAGAGGUAAUAAUGUGUGCGGCACUCAGAAACAAAAACAAAAACAAAAACA
This 362-nucleotide long non-coding RNA is filed under the name Hordeum vulgare. RNAcentral describes it as "long non-coding RNA (HVUL_LNC011983)". The record is from RNAcentral. Lineage: Eukaryota; Viridiplantae; Streptophyta; Magnoliopsida; Poales; Poaceae.